RNAcentral lists this unclassified non-coding RNA (200 nucleotides) under soil metagenome. RNAcentral describes it as "partial contains internal transcribed spacer 2 and large subunit ribosomal RNA". The record is from RNAcentral.
UCAAGCCUGGCUUGCUGUUGGGCUUCUUGGUCGUGGAUCUCCCCCGACCGGCCCCAAAGAUAAUGACGGCGUCCGUCGGACCCUCGGUACAAGGAGCUUUUUACGAGGCACGUACCGCAGUGGGCUGGCAGACCCGGUCUUUUUAAUUAGUUUUUUCUAAGGUUGACCUCGGAUCAGGUAGGAAUACCCGCUGAACUUAA